Molecule: ribosomal RNA, 405 nt
Filed under: uncultured bacterium
Lineage: Bacteria
Description: partial 16S ribosomal RNA
Rfam family: Bacterial small subunit ribosomal RNA
Source: RNAcentral
AUUGAACGCUGGCGGCAGGCUUAACACAUGCAAGUCGAACGAGUGGCGGACGGGUGAGUAAUGCUUGGGCAUCUUGCUUUUGACGGGGGAUAACUACGGGAAACUGUAGCUAAUACCGCGUACCGUAGGUUGCUCCCAAGUGGAAUUAGGUAGUUGGUGAGGUAAAGGCUCACCAAGCCGACGAUCUCUAGCUGGUCUGAGAGGAUGACCAGCCACACUGGGACUGAGACACGGCCCAGACUCCUACGGGAGGCAGCAGUGGGGAAUAGUGCGCAAUGGGGGCAACCUGACGCAGCCAUGCCGCGUGAAUGAAGAAGGCCUUCGGGUUGUAAAGUUCUGUCGGUAGCGAGGCGUUAACUACAGAAGAAGCACCGGCUAACUCCGUGCCAGCAGCCGCGGUAAUAC